AGCUGCGCCUUUUGCUGUGAACGGCGCAGUUAUGAAUAGCAUCAUGUGAAGAUUUAUGUUAAAUUUGUGCGUGCACACAAACAGCGUUUAUAAGAGGAAACAAAGUACAUCCACAUCUCAAUGCAAAACGGCUGUUUUCUUUUUGGAAUUUUAGGAAACCAUGAGCGCCUGUUUUUGGUUAUAACCCAUACUUUGUUUUGCUUUGCUGAAGGGAUGGGACGCUGCACCCAAAGGGACUAAGUGAAAAGAAGUAGUUCAGCCACGAGGGCUCCGAUGACCAUUCUUGGGCCAAUUAACUGCCUAUAGCGCUUUAACGAGACACUGAUAGCCGAUGAUAGGGUCGUAUUGCCUUUCAGGUGCUUUUAUGCGCAGCCGCUGCACGCUGUGGAACAACAGAAAGCACAACAGGGUUUGGUUACAGGAUGGUGGCGGAGAUGGCGAGCUGCGGAGCGGCUUGUCACCUGGAGGACGGAGAUGGAGAUAUCCCUGCACCUGGAAACAAAGAUAACCUGACAGAAAGUGACAGCAGCAGUUCAGAAAACACAGGAACAUCCGCUGAGGACAGCUCAGAGGAG
Molecule: long non-coding RNA, 575 nt
Organism: Perca flavescens (yellow perch)
Lineage: Eukaryota; Metazoa; Chordata; Actinopteri; Perciformes; Percidae
Exons: 4
Source: RefSeq, a predicted model, not a curated record